This 466-nucleotide ribosomal RNA is filed under the name uncultured bacterium. Its description in RNAcentral is "partial 16S ribosomal RNA". It matches the Rfam family "Bacterial small subunit ribosomal RNA", at positions 28 to 507 of the family's 1533-position model. The record is from RNAcentral.
GAUGAACGCUGGCGGCGUGCUUAACACAUGCAAGUCGAACGGAAAGGCCCAAGCUUGCUUGGGUGCUCGAGUGGCGAACGGGUGAGUAACACGUGGGUGAUCUGCCCUGCACUUUGGGAUAAGCCUGGGAAACUGGGUCUAAUACCGGAUAGGACCAUCGUUUAGUGUCGGUGGUGGAAAGUUUUUCGGUGUGGGAUGAGCUCGCGGCCUAUCAGCUUGUUGGUAGGGUAAUGGCCUACCAAGGCGUCGACGGGUAGCCGGCCUGAGAGGGUGUACGGCCACAUUGGGACUGAGAUACGGCCCAGACUCCUACGGGAGGCAGCAGUGGGGAAUAUUGCACAAUGGGCGCAAGCCUGAUGCAGCGACGCCGCGUGGGGGAUGACGGCCUUCGGGUUGUAAACUCCUUUCGCCAAGGACGAAGCGUUUUGUGACGGUACUUGGAGAAGAAGCACCGGCUAACUACGUG